UUCCUUGCAGGUCUUCUACUAUAUUUAGAGGUGGAUGCAAAUUUCUGCACAAUCUUCGGCUUUCUUGAUGUUGCACUGAUUAUGUAAUCUGCGUAUGGGUUGAUAAUGAGGUAGCUUCCAUGGUGAAUUUUUUUAAAUACUAGAACAAUAUUGAAUUAUUUUUGUAGAUUCUUAAGUAGAACUUCUUCUCUAUUGGAAUUUAAUUUAUCCAAGGAGGAUCAAUACCAUCUUGUUUUUGUUUCAGUUAUAAAGCUCGGGUUGUCUAAACCUGAAAAUUCAGUGAGGUGUAAAUGUACAGUUCACUAUUAUACUUCAACAUGAUCAGGUGUUGUUCUUUCCCCUCUCGCACUUAUGAGAUCAUUACUUUGUACCCCCUCUUAAAGAAAUAUAAGAGUGUUUAGAUCACUGUAAUUACUAUUCUUAUUCCAUCAUAUUCCGUAUCAAGCCGAUAUCUCUUGUACAAUAGUCGUUUUCACAAAUAAAUAUUUUAUGGUAUGUUUUUUUCCCAUCAAGCUGAUAUCCCAUUAUGAUAUGUUUUUGCUUUGCACAUGCAGGAUGCCUUUAAUCAAAAGGAUUGGUUUAGUCAACCCAUAAGAUUGAUUCAUUACCUUGGAGUUCCAGAGGGAUUUUGUGUAGCAUGUUCUUCAGGUACUACAUGUUUAUCUUGCUAAGAAUGAUUCAAGUAUGGGUUUUCUAGACUACUUGUUGUAUAUCAGUGAAUGAUAAAGUUAGUUUUGAAAAUUUAUCUCUCUUUUGGCUUAUUUGUAUAUUUGAAUGUUUGAAAAAAUAAAGUUAGUUCGUCAGAUCCUUCUUUGUGUGGGUUUUGUAGGUUACUUGAUGGUAGGAAAAUGUUUGUGACUCCAAAUUUAAUAGGUUAAGAGGAUAGUAUCUUAAUCAUUUAGACUUUUGCUGCCUACGUAACGGAAGCAUGAGUGUGUGGUUAUGAGAUUCAUGCUAAUAAAUCAUUAUCAGAGAUCUCUCAUUUGCUUAUCAACUGUUAUCUUUUUAUAUAUCUUAUAAUUGUCACACUACUUGGUUCCUUUCAUUCCAUCCUAAUUUUAGAGAUCUAUCACUUGCUUUCACAAUGUCACUGUCUUUUUAGACAUCUCUUAAUUUUUGGCCACUUCUUAGUUAAUUCCUUUCCAAGUUAAUAUAUGAGGUAGUUUUAUGGGCUGUAGAGUAUCUUGAUUCUACUAUUUCCCCCAGUUAACAGAAAUAAGAUAAAUUGUACAAUUUUUUGACUGAACUAUGAGUUUUUGUGAUAGCUGUGGCCAGUUCUAUACAGUAUGAGCAAAGAGGAAAGAGUGUUCAUUUGAGUGUCGAUGAAGUGAAAGUUGUCAGUUUAAGUUGGUUCCGAGGAUUCAACCUGUUCUAUUCUACUACAGUAUGGGUUGUAGUGACAUAUGUGCAUAAUAUAUAGUACAUAUUCUUCUUGAUUUUUAUGUGGCCCAUGCUAAUAGGCCAUACAGUCUCUAGAGAUGGGAAACGAAUCAUUAAGCAUUUUAGAGAUUGUUGUCCCAUCUUGUAUAGAAAUAACAUAGAUUGCUUCCGCAGCUGAGCGACUACUUCGUCGGCCAAACACCCGGCUCCUGCUGCAAAGAUGUCCACUGUCCAAGACCCGUGCGUAUCAUUAUUCUCCCUGUCUGUGCCGCGCAACAGCAGUUUCCUGUAGCCCUGCCUCCAUCAGCUUCUCCCUCUUCCUUGCAAUCGAUGAGUUCAGCAUACAAGCUUCAGAUGG
This 1738-nucleotide long non-coding RNA is filed under the name Triticum aestivum (bread wheat). Its description in RNAcentral is "long non-coding RNA (TAES_LNC018685)". The record is from RNAcentral. Lineage: Eukaryota; Viridiplantae; Streptophyta; Magnoliopsida; Poales; Poaceae.